Molecule: transfer RNA, 64 nt
Filed under: Amphibalanus improvisus
Lineage: Eukaryota; Metazoa; Arthropoda; Thecostraca; Balanomorpha; Balanidae
Description: tRNA-Arg
Source: RNAcentral
GAAUAGGAAGCGAAUUAUUGCACUCGGUUUCGACCCGAAAUUUGGUCCUUUUGACCCCUAUUCU